Procambarus clarkii (red swamp crayfish) is the source of this 838-nucleotide non-coding RNA. NCBI's taxonomy places the organism in Eukaryota, Metazoa, Arthropoda, Malacostraca, Decapoda, Cambaridae. The record is from RefSeq and is a predicted model, not a curated record.
UGAUAAGUCACUUCUAUGUUGACAUCAGAGGUGACAAGUUUCAUACCGAAAGAGCGGAUGCCUCAACGAAACCAAGGUUCUUAAGUGGUUCUUAGGUUCAGGAGGGCCAAGCGACGCUCAACCACAUCCACCUUCCUGGGAACUUUGUUACGUGUUCAUACAGCGCCACGGGAACUACAUCCACUCAACGACACUGACCAUCAUGGGCUCCAACCAGGUCGGCGUUCAAGUACGUUAAUCGAGACAAUAAAGUACAUCUCAAUGGGGAUAGAGAAGCUUAGGCUGUUUCUACCCUCCAGCUCUACUUCAAGUCCCUCAAGGGGCGCACAAAAUCCAUCAUCAGCACAAAUCUGCAUUUGUCAGCCGAGUGGCGACUUGCCUUAUGAGGUAUACGCAGCAGCCAUGAACGGUCACCUCAAGCCUGUAUCACGCUACCUGAACCAAGGCGGAAAGGUGAACGCCAUGUACAAAGGCUGGACUCUGCUGCACACUGCAUGCUACCACGGCCGGGACAGGGUGGUGGUCGAGCUGCUGCGGCAUUGGGACAUCUGUGUGAAUCUACGUACUUGUGACAAGAACAUGGACACUGCUCUGAUAAUGGCCGCCAGAAUGGGACAUUUAGAUUGCAUUGAAGCGCUCUUCUCGGCCAGUACAAAGAUAAAGAUGGCAAUAUCUCUCACAGUGUCCACUAGAUAAAGAUGGCAAGAACAGUUAUGGCCAAACAGCUCGUGAUGACGCGUGUGUACAUAAUAAGCAAGACGUGAUUUUCUACCUUUUGGCCGUCAGGCAAACAUAACACCUGCAUCUCAAGAAACAAAGCUAUAUUUAGGAAUAGAGA